This 422-nucleotide ribosomal RNA is filed under the name uncultured bacterium. RNAcentral describes it as "bacterial SSU rRNA". It matches the Rfam family "Bacterial small subunit ribosomal RNA", at positions 355 to 774 of the family's 1533-position model. The record is from RNAcentral.
UGAGGAAUAUUGGUCAAUGGGCGUAAGCCUGAACCAGCCAAGUCGCGUGAAGGAUGACUGCCCUAUGGGUUGUAAACUUCUUUUGUAAGGGGAGAAUAAAUUCUACGUGUAGGAUGAUGACAGUACCUUACGAAUAAGCAUCGGCUAACUCCGUGCCAGCAGCCGCGGUAAUACGUAGGGGGCAAGCGUUAUCCGGAUUUACUGGGUGUAAAGGGAGCGUAGACGGUACUGCAAGUCUGAAGUGAAAGCCCGGGGCUCAACCCCGGGACUGCUUUGGAAACUGUGGAACUAGAGUGUCGGAGAGGUAAGUGGAAUUCCUAGUGUAGCGGUGAAAUGCUUAGAUAUCACGAAGAACUCCGAUUGCGAAGGCAGCUCACUAGACUGUAACUGACACUGAUGCUCGAAAGUGUGGGUAUCAAACA